Molecule: ribosomal RNA, 253 nt
Filed under: uncultured bacterium
Lineage: Bacteria
Description: partial 16S ribosomal RNA
Rfam family: Bacterial small subunit ribosomal RNA
Source: RNAcentral
UACGUAGGGUGCAAGCGUUAAUCGGAAUUACUGGGCGUAAAGCGUGCGCAGGCGGUUUUGUAAGUCUGUCGUGAAAUCCCCGGGCUCAACCUGGGAAUUGCGAUGGAGACUGCAAGGCUAGAAUCUGGCAGAGGGGGGUAGAAUUCCACGUGUAGCAGUGAAAUGCGUAGAUAUCGGAAGGAACAUCAGUGGCGAAGGCGACCUCCUGGACCAAUACUGACACUCAAGUGCGAAAGCGUGGGGAGCAAACAGG